Molecule: ribosomal RNA, 499 nt
Filed under: uncultured bacterium
Lineage: Bacteria
Description: partial 16S ribosomal RNA
Rfam family: Bacterial small subunit ribosomal RNA
Source: RNAcentral
GAUGAACGCUGGCGGCGUGCCUAAUACAUGCAAGUCGAGCGAACAGACGAGAGUGCUUGCACUCUCUGACGUUAGCGGCGGACGGGUGAGUAACACGUGGGUAACCUACCUAUAAGACUGGGAUAACUUCGGGAAACCGGAGCUAAUACCGGAUAAUAUUUAGCUUCGCAUGAAGCAAUAGUGAAAGACGGUUCUGCUGUCACUUAUAGAUGGACCCGCGGUGUAUUAGCUAGUUGGUGAGGUAACGGCUCACCAAGGCAACGAUACAUAGCCGACCUGAGAGGGUGAUCGGCCACACUGGGACUGAGACACGGCCCAGACUCCUACGGGAGGCAGCAGUAGGGAAUCUUCCGCAAUGGACGAAAGUCUGACGGAGCAAUGCCGCGUGAGUGAAGAAGGUUUUCGGAUCGUAAAACUCCGUUGUAAGGGAAGAACAAGUACGUUAGUAACUGAACGUACCUUGACGGUACCUUACCAGAAAGCCACGGCUAACUACGUG